RNAcentral lists this ribosomal RNA (440 nucleotides) under uncultured bacterium. Its description in RNAcentral is "partial 16S ribosomal RNA". It matches the Rfam family "Bacterial small subunit ribosomal RNA", at positions 338 to 795 of the family's 1533-position model. The record is from RNAcentral.
CCUACGGGAGGCAGCAGUGGGGAAUAUUGCACAAUGGGGGAAACCCUGAUGCAGCGACGCCGCGUGAGUGAAGAAGUAAUUCGUUAUGUAAAGCUCGAUCAGCAGGGAAGAAAAUGACGGUACCUGAGUAAGAAGCCCCGGCUAACGACGUGCCAGCAGCCGCGGUAUUACGUAGGGGGCAAGCGUUAGCCGGAUUUACUGGGUGUAAAGGGGGCGUAGACGGCAGUUCAAGUCUGGAGUGAAAGGCGCGGGCUCAACCCCCGGACUGAUCUUGAAACUGUGCGGCUGGAGUGCAGGAGAGGUAAGUGGAAUUCCUAGUGUAGCGGUGAAAUGCGUAGAUAUUAGGAGGAACACCAGUGGCGAAGGCGGCUUUCUGGCCUGUAACUGACGUUGAGGCUCGAAAGCGUGGGGAGCAAACAGGAUUAGAUACCCUAGUAGUC